RNAcentral lists this ribosomal RNA (450 nucleotides) under uncultured bacterium. RNAcentral's name for it is "bacterial SSU rRNA". It matches the Rfam family "Bacterial small subunit ribosomal RNA", at positions 329 to 793 of the family's 1533-position model. The record is from RNAcentral.
UUCCAGACUCCUACGGGAGGCAGCAGUGGGGAAUAUUGCACAAUGGGCGAAAGCCUGAUGCAGCAACGCCGCGUGAAGGAAGAAGGGUUUCGGCUCGUAAACUUCUAUCAACAGGGACGAAAGAAAUGACGGUACCUGAAUAAGAAGCCCCGGCUAACUACGUGCCAGCAGCCGCGGUAAUACGUAGGGGGCAAGCGGUAUCCGGAAUUACUGGGUGUAAAGGGUGAGUAGGCGGCAUGGUAAGCCAGAUGUGAAAGCCUUGGGCUUAACCCAAGGAUUGCAUUUGGAACUAUCAAGCUAGAGUACAGGAGAGGAAAGCGGAAUUCCUGGUGUAGCGGUGAAAUGCGUAGAUAUCAGGAGGAACACCGGUGGCGAAGGCGGCCUGCUGGACUGCAACUGACGUUGAGGCCCGAAAGCGUGGGGAGCAAACAGGAUUAGAUACCCGCGUAC